This 164-nucleotide small nuclear RNA is filed under the name Neotoma lepida (desert woodrat). RNAcentral describes it as "U1 spliceosomal RNA". It matches the Rfam family "U1 spliceosomal RNA". Rfam says of the family: U1 is a small nuclear RNA (snRNA) component of the spliceosome (involved in pre-mRNA splicing). The record is from Rfam by way of RNAcentral. Lineage: Eukaryota; Metazoa; Chordata; Mammalia; Rodentia; Cricetidae.
GUACUUACCUGGCAGGGGAGAUACCAUGAUCAGGAAGGUGUUUUUCCUAGGGAGAGGCUUAUCCAUUGCUUUCCGGAUGUGCUGACCCCUGUGAUUUCUUCAAAUGUGGGAAACUCAACUGCAUAGUUUGUGGUAGUGGGGGACUGCAUUCAUGCUCUCUCCUG